This is a non-coding RNA of Sus scrofa (pig), 4236 nucleotides long. NCBI's taxonomy places the organism in Eukaryota, Metazoa, Chordata, Mammalia, Artiodactyla, Suidae. The record is from RefSeq and is a predicted model, not a curated record.
CUUUACUUUUUAAAAUUUUUAUCUGGAAAUAAUUAUAGUCACAAGAAGUUGCAAAAAUCAUACAAAGAGGUCCCAUGUAAUCAUCACACUGCUUUCCCCAAUGGUAACAACUUCCAAAACUACAGUAUGAUACCAAAUUAAGAAACUUACAUAGACAGAUUGCAAUUAAUUAGACUAGACUUCCCACCCCAUUAAGGUUUCACCAGUUUUUUUUUUCACAAGAAAGUUUUUCAUAUGUAUGUGUAUAUAGUUCUGUAACAUCUCCUCACCUGCAUAGACUCAUAUAUAUGAUCACAACCAUGAUAUGGAACAGUUUCAUAGCUAUUUGGUUUUCCCUGAACCAUUUAUUGGAGAGAUUGUCUUUUCUUCACUGUAUACUAUUUCCUAACUUGUCAUAAAUUAAUUGACCAUAAGUGUGUGGAUUUAUUUCUGGCCUCUUCAUUGUCCCAUUGAUCUAUGUGCUGUUUCUGCUAUAUCCCCUCCCUCUGCCUAUACAUCCGUUAAACUCCCCUUUAAAAGCUCUUGCCCACUGGUUAUCAGUGGAGGGAGUGGGCCUUUAGACAUGAGCCCCACCCCCCCACACACCUGUUUCUGGCUUCAGAAAUAAAGCAAACUUUCCUUUCCACCAACUUUGCCUCUUUAAUGGCCUCUGAGCCUGGAGCAGCUGGAACCACUUUUUGGAAGUAUUUGGCUCCCACAUGAAGCUGUGCUCUCACGAGAUCUGGCUCCUGGGGCUUGCCCCACCAUGACACCACCAGGCUAGCCUUGAUGAGCCUGCUGCUCAUGGCUACUGGCCCCAGAGGGGUUUUGGGGGUCCUUCCUGGCUGCUGCUGAAACCAUUUGUUUGGGGAUCUUCCUUGUCUCUCCCCUGAUCGGCCCUGACUGCCAACUUCAGCUUUCCAUCGGCGGAACGGAAAAAUGCAUCUGGAUGAGUGAUGUGCCCCAGCACCAAGUCCCAUUGAUCUGUGUCCACUGAUGAGAACAUGUCUCAGCCAUCCUGCAGGCUCCAGGAGAAUGAGAAACUUGCAGGUCAGAUCCAGACCUUGAGACCUCCAGCAAGAAGGGCUGCCACAGCUGUGACCAAGAUGGCCUGUCAGAGGCUGGAGCAUCUGUUGAGGAAUGGGUGUCUUCUCUGUGGAAAUAUCCCCAUUGCUGUUUCUUGUGGGAAGCACAGCAUCACCCCAGAGAUCUGUGGUCGUCAGGAAAGGAGCUCGGCUGCAUGGACAUUCAUCUCCAUCCCCAGCGGGGACACUGCCAUCUCGCUAACUUGCUCAUCCUGAGCAGUAGGAAGCUCUAACUAAAUAAACGAAAAAGGAUGGCAGAAAAUAAUCCAUGGUGACUUAUGCAUCUUUCUCCAUCCAUAAAUAACUUUAUACUUCACUUCUGGCAGUGGAGCCGAGCCAGAGGUAAUGAGCCAUUGUGGAAAACCCAUCUGUUGCUCAUAAGGGGAAAGGCCGGAUUUAUUGAGGAAGAAUCUGGAGCGUAAGUCCUGUUAUUGUUAAUGGGAGUUGCACAUCUAAUUGGUCAUGCUGAAAAUAUGCCCCAUUAUAUUCUUUCGCUGGCCAGAUGGAUGUGCUCAGCCGCAAUGCUGAGAAGAAAAAUGUACCCAGAGAGUCUGAGAGCGGGUGUGGACACCAUGGCCAGUGGGGAACUGACAGUUCUAAUGAGGAUAGAUGGUGCUUGUCUGCCGGUUUGAUUCAAAGAUAUUUUCAAAAGAACUCAAAAGGCCCGAUACAGGUCUUCUAAAUGGGGUCACACAGUCCAGUCCCCUGGAGUGGAUGGUAUAGAAUCAGUUCAACUAGCCCCCUAGUCCCAUAAUCUGAAACACUUCUGCCUCUCAUUCCUUGGUAACGUGGCCUGUUAAUACCUAAUCAUUGCUUUGAGAUUUCCUUAAAAUGGCACUGGAUGAUAGCAAUUGAAAGUCCUGCCUCCCAGGGUCCUCUCUACUACAGUGGUGAGAAGAAAGGUGAAGAAAUCAAAGAUAGGCUAAGCUUUGCACACUGAAUUCCCCCCAAAUGUGUUCGAGUUAGAUUUGGGGCUGAGGCGCUUGACAGAGAUGAGGAACAAGAUAGUAACACAAUUUCUGGAAAAUUGCCGGUACAUAAUAAAUGUGCAUAAAGGAGAGUAAAACAAACUAACAGUGAUUAGGAAAAUCCUAGCACACUCUAGCCGGGAGGGGCCUGGGAGAUAUUUAUUAGCCGGAUAGGUAACUGCAAAACUAACAAUCCCCAGUUCAGUUCAGUGAUAAAGAUAUUUGGGUUGUGUGUUCAGAUUUUGGUCCAAUGCAGAAGUGAGGAGGGGUGUGUGGUGGGGGAAGUGUAUGCCCCACAUGUCCUUCUCCAUCCUGUAAGCCCAUCAACAUCCUUGGGGGCCUCAAGGUCACCAUGAAGUGGAAAAAGAGUAAGGAAGGGGAUCCUGGCCAAGGCUUGGAUUGAGAUGCUCCAUUGUCAACCCUUCCCCUGGCCCAAACUUGGUCCUUUGGUAUAAAAUGAUGGAGCAGAAGCUAGGAAAUAUAGUCUUCCCAUAUGCCCAGGAGGAAAAUGAGCUGGAUUUGGUGAACACGGGACUGUUACUGUCUCUGAGGCCCUUUAAUCUGAUCUUUCCUUUCACCCUGGAACUGGGUGAUUUUCAGCAAGUCACAUGGCUGUUUGGUGACAGGACAAGAACUCUGAUUUCCUACUUUCUGUCAUGAUUGCAUGGUGCACAGUGAGGCACAAAUGGGAGGAGGCAGCAGGACACCCUGUGAAGAACCCUGGAGAGGGGAGAGGAUACCCAGAUUUGUGGUCCUGGCUUUGUCACGAGCUCGGCUAGUCACUCACAUGCCUCAGUUUCCCUGUCUAUAACGUGAGAAAUUUGAAGAAAUGAUUGUGGAAAUCCUUUCAAGCUCUCAUAUCUCUACUUCUUGAGACAUUAGGAAGAAGAAAUCAAAAUUAUGAGAAAAGAGAAGAGUCUAAAACCAGGAAAUCAGUGUGAGGUGAGGGGUCAUGAUAAAGCAGAAGAAAGCAGGAUGCAGCCUCCUGGGCAUCUCAGCUCAUGGACGGCAGACAGGUGUGUCCCCUACAAUGACUAGGGAUCAGGGGCCUCUCCCUGGGUUGACCUGGGAACAGGCUUCUUCCUAGAGUGACCAUGAAUCAUGGGCAUCUUCCUGGGGUGACCAGGGUUCAGGGGCACCUUCCUGCUGUGACCAGGGGCAUCUUCAUGGAGUCCAUUCUCCCUCCCGUUGCCUCUCACCGCCCCACCCAAGCUAAGCCAGUAUCCAUCCCACCCAGGGACCACAGUGCAGGCACUCACUACCUGAUUGUCAUAGGUUAGAAAGCAGCCUGACCAAGGGCGGGAUCAAAGGACUAACAGUGGGGGUGGCUGGGCAGAUGCCCCCUUUUCCUCACUCAGGAGUCCCAUCUCUCACUCAGCUUCAAGUGUGCAAACUGCAGCAGCAUACUGAAGUGACUCUCUAGGGGCCUUCAUUAACUACCGGAGGCCAGCCAAGCCCCAGAGACUGUCUCCACUCGGGGGUGAUAACAGCCUGCACAACAAAGCCGCCAGCAGCAGCCUGAAAUCCUUUUUCAAUUCUGCCCGCUUUAGCUUGCUCAUAGGGUAAAGGGAUCAAUUUCUGAAAUCAGCCUUUCCCUUCAACACAACCAAGUGGCAGCCAGAGCAUAAACAGAGGUAAUCCUUCAAGGAGCAGCACUUCAGGCUCACAGAGCGCUUUCAUCUCAGGAUGCUAAAGUCCUUUUCAAUCAUGAAGCGCUUUCUCUAAGCCCUGGCUCUCAGGACCAGGCAGAAGCAACGGCUGUGAAGUCAAGGGUAGGGGCCAGGCUCCUGAAGGCACAGGAGCACCCUUGCAUUUCCAUCUUCUACCAAGUUUCCUUAAAUAUCAUGAACAGAAACAAUCUUGCUUGAGAUAAUGGAUACUGAAAUAAUAGACAGCAUUUCUGAAACCUAAGAGGGAGCAAUUAUGAGCUAGGAAAUCUGGAAAUAUGGUUUACUCACCUGAACUCCUCUCCCCCACCCUCAAUGGCAGUGCUGGCUUGGGAUCAAUGGCUUUAUGAUAUCAGGGUCAUGCUAUCCUCACCUUUGCCUGGGUUAAGGAGGCAACACUUUCUAAUCAUUAUGAGAGACCCAGGUGCCAUAACCUUUGACUGAAAACUCUCAAACAGGUUUAUAUUUGUGGAGGGUAUAAACUUGAUGCAAAAUCAGGUGUAGUAGAAAUAAUCACAAUUCCCUUUUUGCGGGAGU